AGAGUUUGAUUCUGGCUCAGGACGAACGUUGGCGGUGUGUCUAAGGCAUGCAAGUCGAACGAGAUUGUUUUCUUCGGAAAACAUUAUAUCUAGUGGCAGACGGCUGAGUAACGCGUAAGUAACUUACCCUAGAGUGGGGAAUAACACAGAGAAAUCUGUGCUAAUACCGCAUACGAUUUAUAGAUAAUUUUUAUAAAUGAAAGAUUUAUCGCUCUUGGAUGGGCUUGCGUCCUAUCAGGUUGUUGGCGGGGUAAUAGCCCACCAAGCCUAAGACGGGUAGCUGGUGUGAGAGCACGACCAGCCAGAGGGGGACUGAGACACGGCCCCCACUCCUACGGGAGGCAGCAGCUAAGAAUAUUGCACAAUGGACGAAAGUCUGAUGCAGCGACACCGCGUGAGGGAUGACAGCUUUAGGGUUGUAAACCUCUUUUAUUAGGGAAUAGCAAGGAAGGUACCUAAUGAAUAAGCUACGGCUAACUACGUGCCAGCAGCCGCGGUAAUACGUAGGUAGCGAACGUUGUCCGGAAUCACUGGGCGUAAAGGGUCCGUAGGCGGUUUAAUAAGUCUCAUAUGAAAGCUCCAAGCUCAACUUGGAGAUGUUGUGAGAUACUGUUAGACUUGAGGCUGUUAGAGGCAAGUGGAAUUCCAGGUGUAGUGGUGAAAUGCGUAGAUAUCUGGAGGAACACCAGUGGCGAAAGCGACUUGCUGGGACAGUUCUGACGCUAAGGGACGAAAGCGUGGGGAGCAAACCGGAUUAGAUACCCGGGUAGUCCACGCUGUAAACGAUGAUUGCUAGGUUUUCGAGGCAUCGACCCCUCGUGAGCCGAAGUUAACGCGUUAAGCAAUCCGCCUGAGUAGUACGGCCGCAAGGCUAAAACUCAAAGAAAUUGACGGGGGACCGCACAAGCAGCGGAGCGUGUGGUUUAAUUCGAUGGUAAGCGAAGAACCUUACCUGGGUUUGACAUGUAAGUAGUACUGAACCGAAAGGGGAAGGACCCGCAAGGGAGCUUACACAGGUGUUGCAUGGUUGUCGUCAGCUCGUGCCGUGAGGUGUUGGGUUAAGUCCC
This 1067-nucleotide ribosomal RNA is filed under the name marine metagenome. RNAcentral's name for it is "bacterial SSU rRNA". It matches the Rfam family "Bacterial small subunit ribosomal RNA", at positions 8 to 1088 of the family's 1533-position model. The record is from RNAcentral.